This is a long non-coding RNA of Perognathus longimembris pacificus (Pacific pocket mouse), 280 nucleotides long. RefSeq lists it as uncharacterized. The transcript has 2 exons. The record is from RefSeq and is a predicted model, not a curated record. Lineage: Eukaryota; Metazoa; Chordata; Mammalia; Rodentia; Heteromyidae.
AAGUCUUUCUCUGAAUAAAUAGGAUGGACUUGAUAGGAGUUCAAACCAGAGUUAGUGUAGCGAAGGUGGAGGGAAAUGGACAAAACUGAGAAAUGUCUGGAAGGUGAAAUUUGCAGAACCUGAUGUGCGAGUAGACAGGGAGAGAACAGGCUCAAGGGUUAGUGGUGCAUUUGCCCUAACAUAGGAGAGACUGGGAGACAGAACUGGGGUCUGGACGUCCCUCGAGAGAGGCUAGAAGGGUCCAAAGGAGAAUACCCAUAGGAUACUGUGGCUAGACAUC